AGCGAACGCUGGCGGCAGGCCUAACACAUGCAAGUCGAACGAACUCUUCGGAGUUAGUGGCGGACGGGUGAGUAACACGUGGGAACGUGCCUUUAGGUUCGGAAUAACUCAGGGAAACUUGUGCUAAUACCGAAUGUGCCCUUCGGGGGAAAGAUUUAUCGCCUUUAGAGCGGCCCGCGUCUGAUUAGCUAGUUGGUGAGGUAAAGGCUAACCAAGGCGACGAUCAGUAGCUGGUCUGAGAGGAUGAUCAGCCACAUUGGGACUGGGACACGGCCCAAACUCCUACGGGAGGCAGCAGUGGGGAAUCUUGCGCAAUGGGCGAAAGCUUGACGCAGCCAUGCCGCGUGAAUGAUGAAGGUCUUAGGAUUGUAAAAUUCUUUCACCGGGGACGAUAAUGACGGUACCCGGAGAAGAAGCCCCGGCUAACUUCGUGCCAGCCGCCGCAGUAA
RNAcentral lists this ribosomal RNA (449 nucleotides) under uncultured bacterium. RNAcentral describes it as "partial 16S ribosomal RNA". It matches the Rfam family "Bacterial small subunit ribosomal RNA", at positions 29 to 523 of the family's 1533-position model. The record is from RNAcentral.